This 3379-nucleotide ribosomal RNA is filed under the name Drosophila melanogaster (fruit fly). Its description in RNAcentral is "eukaryotic LSU rRNA". The stretch from base 573 to 3379 matches the Rfam family "Eukaryotic large subunit ribosomal RNA", at positions 1 to 2450 of the family's 3401-position model. The record is from RNAcentral. Lineage: Eukaryota; Metazoa; Arthropoda; Insecta; Diptera; Drosophilidae.
ACUCUAAGCGGUGGAUCACUCGGCUCAUGGGUCGAUGAAGAACGCAGCAAACUGUGCGUCAUCGUGUGAACUGCAGGACACAUGAACAUCGACAUUUUGAACGCAUAUCGCAGUCCAUGCUGUUAUGUACUUUAAUUAAUUUUAUAGUGCUGCUUGGACUACAUAUGGUUGAGGGUUGUAAGACUAUGCUAAUUAAGUUGCUUAUAAAUUUUUAUAAGCAUAUGGUAUAUUAUUGGAUAAAUAUAAUAAUUUUUAUUCAUAAUAUUAAAAAAUAAAUGAAAAACAUUAUCUCACAUUUGAAUGUGAAAAACGAAGAGAAAUAUUUUCUUUUUCAAUCAAAUAAUACUGAGAAAUGUCUAGCAUAAAAAAUUGAAAUAUUUUUCAUCUAGAAUUGUCUCUUAUUAAUGAUUCGGAAAUAGAAAAAUCUUGGUUAUGUUAUUAUUCUUCGUUGGUUCGUUAAAAAUGGAUAAAUAAAAACUUUGCAUACAAGAAUUAAUAAAAAUGUUAUAACGAAUUUAAUUAAAUGUUUUAUCAUUAUAUAUAAAGAAUUUAUGGCAAGAUAAAGUUAUAUACAACCUCAACUCAUAUGGGACUACCCCCUGAAUUUAAGCAUAUUAAUUAGGGGAGGAAAAGAAACUAACAAGGAUUUUCUUAGUAGCGGCGAGCGAAAAGAAAACAGUUCAGCACUAAGUCACUUUGUCUAUAUGGCAAAUGUGAGAUGCAGUGUAUGGAGCGUCAAUAUUCUAGUAUGAGAAAUUAACGAUUUAAGUCCUUCUUAAAUGAGGCCAUUUACCCAUAGAGGGUGCCAGGCCCGUAUAACGUUAAUGAUUACUAGAUGAUGUUUCCAAAGAGUCGUGUUGCUUGAUAGUGCAGCACUAAGUGGGUGGUAAACUCCAUCUAAAACUAAAUAUAACCAUGAGACCGAUAGUAAACAAGUACCGUGAGGAAAGUUGAAAAGAACUCUGAAUAGAGAGUUAAACAGUACGUGAAACUGCUUAGAGGUUAAGCCCGAUGAACCUGAAUAUCCGUUAUGGAAAAUUCAUCAUUAAAAUUGUAAUAUUUAAAUAAUAUUAUGAGAAUAGUGUGCAUUUUUUCCAUAUAAGGACAUUGUAAUCUAUUAGCAUAUACCAAAUUUAUCAUAAAAUAUAACUUAUAGUUUAUUCCAAUUAAAUUGCUUGCAUUUUAACACAGAAUAAAUGUUAUUAAUUUGAUAAAGUGCUGAUAGAUUUAUAUGAUUACAGUGCGUUAAUUUUUCGGAAUUAUAUAAUGGCAUAAUUAUCAUUGAUUUUUGUGUUUAUUAUAUGCACUUGUAUGAUUAACAAUGCGAAAGAUUCAGGAUACCUUCGGGACCCGUCUUGAAACACGGACCAAGGAGUCUAACAUAUGUGCAAGUUAUUGGGAUAUAAACCUAAUAGCGUAAUUAACUUGACUAAUAAUGGAUUAGUUUUUUAGCUAUUUAUAGCUAAUUAACACAAUCCCGGGCGUUCUAUAUAGUUAUGUAUAAUGUAUAUUUAUAUUAUUUAUGCCUCUAACUGGAACGUACCUUGAGCAUAUAUGCUGUGACCCGAAAGAUGGUGAACUAUACUUGAUCAGGUUGAAGUCAGGGGAAACCCUGAUGGAAGACCGAAACAGUUCUGACGUGCAAAUCGAUUGUCAGAAUUGAGUAUAGGGCGAAAGACCAAUCGAACCAUCUAGUAGCUGGUUCCUUCCGAAGUUUCCCUCAGGAUAGCUGGUGCAUUUUAAUAUUAUAUAAAAUAAUCUUAUCUGGUAAAGCGAAUGAUUAGAGGCCUUAGGGUCGAAACGAUCUUAACCUAUUCUCAAACUUUAAAUGGGUAAGAACCUUAACUUUCUUGAUAUGAAGUUCAAGGUUAUGAUAUAAUGUGCCCAGUGGGCCACUUUUGGUAAGCAGAACUGGCGCUGUGGAUGAACCAAACGUAAUGUUACGGUGCCCAAAUUAACAACUCAUGCAGAUACCAUGAAAGGCGUUGGUUGCUUAAAACAGCAGGACGGUGAUCAUGGAAGUCGAAAUCCGCUAAGGAGUGUGUAACAACUCACCUGCCGAAGCAACUAGCCCUUAAAAUGGAUGGCGCUUAAGUUGUAUACCUAUACAUUACCGCUAAAGUAGAUGAUUUAUAUUACUUGUGAUAUAAAUUUUGAAACUUUAGUGAGUAGGAAGGUACAAUGGUAUGCGUAGAAGUGUUUGGCGUAAGCCUGCAUGGAGCUGCCAUUGGUACAGAUCUUGGUGGUAGUAGCAAAUAAUCGAAUGAGACCUUGGAGGACUGAAGUGGAGAAGGGUUUCGUGUGAACAGUGGUUGAUCACGAGUUAGUCGGUCCUAAGUUCAAGGCGAAAGCCGAAAAUUUUCAAGUAAAACAAAAAUGCCUAACUAUAUAAACAAAGCGAAUUAUAAUACACUUGAAUAAUUUUGAACGAAAGGGAAUACGGUUCCAAUUCCGUAACCUGUUGAGUAUCCGUUUGUUAUUAAAUAUGGCCUCGUGCUCAUCCUGGCAACAGGAACGACCAUAAAGAAGCCGUCGAGAGAUAUCGGAAGAGUUUUCUUUUCUGUUUUAUAGCCGUACUACCAUGGAAGUCUUUCGCAGAGAGAUAUGGUAGAUGGGCUAGAAGAGCAUGACAUAUACUGUUGUGUCGAUAUUUUCUCCUCGGACCUUGAAAAUUUAUGGUGGGACACGCAAACUUCUCAACAGGCCGUACCAAUAUCCGCAGCUGGUCUCCAAGGUGAAGAGUCUCUAGUCGAUAGAAUAAUGUAGGUAAGGGAAGUCGGCAAAUUAGAUCCGUAACUUCGGGAUAAGGAUUGGCUCUGAAGAUUGAGAUAGUCGGGCUUGAUUGGGAAACAAUAACAUGGUUUAUGUGCUCGUUCUGGGUAAAUAGAGUUUCUAGCAUUUAUGUUAGUUACUUGUUCCCCGGAUAGUUUAGUUACGUAGCCAAUUGUGGAACUUUCUUGCUAAAAUUUUUAAGAAUACUAUUUGGGUUAAACCAAUUAGUUCUUAUUAAUUAUAACGAUUAUCAAUUAACAAUCAAUUCAGAACUGGCACGGACUUGGGAAUCCGACUGUCUAAUUAAAACAAAGCAUUGUGAUGGCCCUAGCGGGUGUUGACACAAUGUGAUUUCUGCCCAGUGCUCUGAAUGUCAAAGUGAAGAAAUUCAAGUAAGCGCGGGCUCAACGGCGGGAGUAACUAUGACUCUCUUAAGGUAGCCAAAUGCCUCGUCAUCUAAUUAGUGACGCGCAUGAAUGGAUUAACGAGAUUCCUACUGUCCCUAUCUACUAUCUAGCGAAACCACAGCAAGGGAACGGGCUUGGAAUAAUUAGCGGGGAAAGAAGACCCUUUUGAGCUUGACUCUAAUCUGGCAGUGUAAGGAGAC